CUCCUCCUCCUCCUCCCGGGAUGCUGGCACAGAGUUGUGAUCGAGCCCCAAGUGGAUUGCAGCGCAUAAUGGAACCCGGGUUUAAUGUGACCGGGACGGGGGGUGGGCAGCUAUGCGGGUCAGGGAGUGGGAGAAUUUAAGAACAGGAAGCCCACCCCCACCCUAGAUUUUCCCAAAUCACUAAGGAUUUUAGUAGGAUUCAGAACCCAAGCUUCCAAGACACUCGCUGUGCUAAAAAUAAUCUUCAUAACUUCUAAAACACUGACUCAUGGGCAGGAGGACACUUUGACAGCAUGUUAUUGUUGGGGAGCUGUAAUUUUGUUGUUGUGCUAUAGCAAUGUGACAUGAUGGCAUUUCAUGUUGUGAUGUUGUCGUCAUUUAAACACAAACAGAUGACAGGAAUCUGCUGUACUUAAAAAAAAACCCAAUCCUAACAAGCGCUGCAGCUAUUAGCUACUCAGUCUAUAGACAAAGUACAUAUGGGGCAUGAGCCCAAAUGGAGACAAGUAAAAAUUUGCAAGGCUCUUUGGUUUCAUUAGAAAAAGUUUUUUUUUUAGAUAUAAUUUUGCAUAAAAGGAUCACAGGAAAGUAUUAGGACAAGUCUAAGGGGAUUUUUUUUAUUUGUGCCCUUCUGUUUUAAAAUUUUUUUUACAAUGAGUCUAUUAUUUUCACAUCAGAAGAGUUUUAUAAACUGCAAGAUUGGCAGUUCCAUUUUUUUGGCCUCAGGCUGGAGUACAGUGGUGUGAUCCUAACUCAAGCAACCCUCCUGCCUUGGCCCCCCAAAGUGUUGGGAUUACAGGCAUGAGCCACCAUGCCUAGCUCCACAUCAGGUAUUUCUAAUGAGAAUUGAACCUACAAAUUGAAAUGUAAGUAUAAAAUAUACAGCAGAUUUCAAAGACAGUGGGAAAAAAUGUACAAUAUCUCUAUUGAUACUUUAAAAAUAUUGAUCACAUGUUGAAAUGGUAGUACUUUAGAUAUGUUGGGUUUAUUUUUAAUUUUUCAAAAUGUGGCUAAUAGAAAAUUUAAAGUUAUAUAUGUAGCUUACAUAAUAUUUCUAUUUGCUGUAGGAUUCAGUGGCUUACCCAGCACUUCAGAAGACAUUUGAAAAUCAGUCAUGUUCCUCAACCAAGUGAUGCCUUUUAGCGGUGCAAAUUCUGUGCUUAGGAAACUUGCUGCUUGCCCUAAUCUUUUCUUUUUUUGUUUUAAAAUGUGUCAUGUGGCAUUUAAUUGUCCUCAUCUUAUCAAGGGUUCAGUGCACCCUAAUGAGACUUGAAUGCAUCACAAAAUGAUUGUUUCAGAAAGAUUGCUUCAACAACAGAAGAUGGAGAUGGGAAGAGAAUGGUGGGGGAUGUGGUAGCAAAGAAGCUAUUCCAAUGAUCCAACCUCAAGAUCAUGCAAAUGUGAACUAAAGCAAUGGCAUCAGGAUGGAGCAGAGAAGAUGGACUGGAGAGAGUUUUAGGAGGUAGAAGUGAUAGAACUCUGGUGGUGACUGGCUGUAGGGAAAGAGGUCAAUCAUCCAUCCUCCUCAGAAUAGUUGGCAGGUCACCGUGUACUUUAAGAUAGGAAAUACAAGAGAAAGAUCAGAUUGGCCACUGAGGGAUGGGGGUUGGGGAGAAAAGGAGAAAAAGUACUUAGUUUCAGACAUAUUACAUUUGAAAAACCAUAGCAUCUAGACAGACAUUCUGAAGACAGAAAAAGAUUCUGCUCUGGGACUUCAGGAUGAGGUUUUAUCUGAAGGUAUAGUACUGAGAAGCCAUCAGCCUGUAAAUGGUGGCUGCUCCAUGGGAGUAGAUGAAGAUAUUGGUGUCAUGGGCUAUCAGGAAGGACAGGGUGUUUAGCUAUGUUGGCUGUUGUGGAAAAGUCGAAUAAGACAAGGACUGAGAAAUAUCUUUUUGAUCUGGCAAUCAUGUCACCCAAAAGAGAAGGAAUAACUUUGAAACUAUUUUUACAGAUGGAGGAAGGUAGCCUGGGCCCAACUGAACUCACUGUGUAUUCAGAAAAUAACCCACAGUUGGGAAAUUCACAGUGCCAUUGCUUUGAAUCAAAUCCUUACUUCAUACCAGGAUGUACCAUGAUUCUUGGCAACAUGACUGGGUAUUGAUGUCUUGUCUAGCCAAUGAAAUCCACAUAGCAAAGAUGUUAUGAAGACAUGGAAACAUGAAUAUGAAAUAAAAUCAGUAUAGCUAUUUGGAUGAUUAGCUAUCGACACAAGACAGUCCCUGGUAAUUGCCUUUAAUAGUAAGGUAGCACUAGGCCAUGAAAGGUGCUUCAGUGUACCUGCCUCAUUUGUGGCUCCCUUUUGGCCAUGUGACCCUAACUCCCCUGGUCACAAGUGGCUGAACCAGCAAUCAAUACCUGACCUGAAGGCAACCCUCUAUAGGCUGGCAAGUGGCCUACAAAGUUGCUCAGUGCUAGAGAACUGAGCCCAACAGAAGUACAUUCUAAUGUUUAGUGAUUGGCCAAUCGUAUUCUUUGUGAUGGUGCUGAUGGGAAGGUAGUGAUGUGCAUCAGACAUGCAGAGUUAGUAGCAGCUGGAGCAGACACAGAAGCCUCCCUAACAAUGGGCAAUGGAGAAAGGAACAACAGACAGUUCUGAAAGAAUACCAAGUGCUCCUAAGCCAAAAGCUAUAGUUAGGCUGCUGGAGGUACUGCCAGUCCUAAAUGAUGGCAAUGAUGGUCCAUUUUUCUGUGAAACUUGACUGUAUACCUGUUAAGAUUUUUUUGUGUUCUUUUUAAGGCUCCAUGAAUGAAUCUUUCCAAUAAACAAGUUUGUAACAAAGGCAACCUGAACAUUUCUGAUACUUGAAACUUGAAAAUAUCUAAUACAAUUUUACAUCACUUUCAAAUCAUGAGUGAAGAAGUUAAUGUGUUAUUGAAUUAGAUUCCCUAUACAUAUGUCAGUUACUUAUUCAAUCAAUAAUAUGUACUGAUAACCUACUAUGUGCCAGACAUGUACUAGCAUUAGGAAUUUAGUAGUGAACAAGAUUGACAUGACUCCAGCCUAGAUUGUGCUAUGGUCUAGCCUGGAGUAUUUAGACUCCUUGGGUCUUAAUACAUACGGAGAAACCUGAAUGUAUGUCAGAAGCAUGUGAUCUACAUUUGUUUGCUUUCGUUUUAAAUAUUCAUGGUUUCCGAAUAUAUUACAUGAAUAAGGAUGUAACAUUAAAACCCAUGUGUUAACAUUUUAAUCUAAGGAUAUUUAUAUCAAAGUACAGCUUAGUUCAGAGCUUUCUAAAUUUUAGUACAUCUGAAACAAAGUGAACAACAGAAAGAAGGUUAACAAAACCAUAAACUGUUAAGUAGAACAUGGCCCCUAAGUAGAGCCAGAAGUAUAGUACUGUAACAAGAUGACACUUGCAGAAUCCAACAGAAGAAGAGAAUAAAAUGAUGACAUUUAUAUGCUAGCAUUUUGCAACAGUGGUAAUGUGCCACCUGUAAAUGAAGUGAAUCCUGGAAAUAAAAAGGCUGGCCAUUUUUCCUCAUCCUGAGUAAAAGAUAAACUGAAAAUUAAUGGCAUGGAUUGCUCAAGAUAACAGACUGAAAAUAAAGAUACAGGUGAUUCAUUAAACUAGAUGAAGAAAAAUGGAGAAGAUAGAAUCUGAUGCUUGGUGAAAUUGAAAUGUCAAGGAAUUGACAUUGAUGCAUUCUGUGAUGAUCCUGCUGGUAACUCAAUAGUCAGGCAAAGGAUUUUAAUGUUAUAUUUCUUAGACCAACUAAAAUUAAGAAUGAAUGUCUUUCCCAGUAGAGAUAAGAUGGCCCAGGGGGAGUGGAGAGUUGAGGGAACCCUGUUAAGUGCUUUAGAGUUUCUAGGGAUUUUUUUUUUUCCUAGUCAAUCUCUGCUUAUCCAUCUAGGACUCUUUAGUUAUUAUUUUAGUGGAGCAUUAAGAGACUAAAAAUGCUCUUAUAUUUUAUCAUUCAAACUUUUACAGGCUUUCUUUCCAAGAUACUCAAAUCCCUAAACACCUGAACUUCUAAUUGCUUUACAAGACUUAGUCUCAUUGGUUGCUAUAGUACUGCUGUGGAAAUUCUCUUCUUGUCUUCAACUAAAUAGGUUGCAGUUUAAAUAUCUGCAACUCUCUGGGAACACAAACAACAUUAGAAAUUAGAAAGAUAAUAUAACUGUGGCUACAGCAGGUAACUUUUAAUUAUCAGGUUUAUAUGUAAUUUUAUACAUUCAAAUUUGAAAACUAGAAUGAAUAGAUGGCCUUAAGGAAACUAUAAACUAUUAAACAGAACCAAGAAUAGGUAGAGAACCCAAAUAGAUUGAUCAUCAUCUAAGAAACUGAAAAGAUUUGGGAGGCUGAGGUGGGAGAGUAGCUUGAGCCCAGGGUUUCAAGACCAG
This 4342-nucleotide long non-coding RNA is filed under the name Homo sapiens (human). RNAcentral describes it as "HSALNT0381369". Lineage: Eukaryota; Metazoa; Chordata; Mammalia; Primates; Hominidae. The record is from RNAcentral.